GACAUCCCAAUGACAUCUCCUUAAUCGGAGAGUUCCCUUCGGGGACAUUGGUGACAGGUGGUGCAUGGUUGUCGUCAGCUCGUGUCGUGGGAUGUUGGGUUAAGUCCCGCAACGAGCGCAACCCUUGUCUUUAGUUGCCAUCAUUAAGUUGGGCACUCUAGAGAGACUGCCAGGGAUAACCUGGAGGAAGGUGGGGAUGACGUCAAAUCAUCAUGCCCCUUAUGCUUAGGGCUACAC
This 237-nucleotide ribosomal RNA is filed under the name Clostridioides difficile. RNAcentral describes it as "partial 16S ribosomal RNA". It matches the Rfam family "Bacterial small subunit ribosomal RNA", at positions 983 to 1219 of the family's 1533-position model. The record is from RNAcentral. Lineage: Bacteria; Bacillati; Bacillota; Clostridia; Peptostreptococcales; Peptostreptococcaceae.